AAUGUACUCCCUCCGAUCCUAAAUUCUUGUCUCAAAUUUGCCCAAAUAUGAAUGUAUCUAUUCUUAAAAAGCGGCUAGAUACAUGUAAUAUUUUGACAACAAUUUAGGAUCGGAGGGAAUAUUAU
Non-coding RNA from Brachypodium distachyon (stiff brome), 125 nucleotides. The record is from Rfam. Lineage: Eukaryota; Viridiplantae; Streptophyta; Magnoliopsida; Poales; Poaceae.